CUUUGAGGUGCCGUGUUCAGAUGCUAUCUAAUGGCCUUUCAUUUUCCUACCUUUUAUUUCUCCUCUGUUUUAGUCUCUCAAAGCAUUCUCCUUUCUAGAAAAUACUCUAGGGAAAAUGGAUAACUUGCAGAGGAAGAAAGUGUUGUUCAUCUGCCACCUCUGAAAAAACACUCAUGCUCCAUCUUUGCCCAGCCAAGAUAACCGCUUAGGAAUAUUUUGAGAUGCGUUUUACUUUCUGAGAAUUGGCGCGAAACAUUGGUUAUCCUUACUCUAAUUAAUCACUUCUGUUCGAAAGGAUAAUGAAGAGUUGUGUGGUUAGGCCAAAAUAUUGAGUCUCCAUUAAGAAAUGCUUUCUCUAGCUAUUUGAUAAAAACACAUUUUUGAAGCAACACAGGAAAUGUAACUUCACUUUAUUCUGUGCCUCUGAAGCCUUGCUUUUCUAUAAAUUCCAAAUGGACCUCAAGCCUUUUUCUGGGCCAGUGACACGGAAAAUGAUAGUUGGCAGUUGAUGGUCAUUAAAAAGCAUUCUUGAAAUGCUGCUAUAACAUUGGACAGCCAUUACUGUCAUGUCGUGGGGAGAAAGGUAGAAUCAUAGUAUUUUUAAAAUGGAAGGGAACUUAGAAAUAAUUUUGUUCCACUCCCUUGUCUUGUAGAUAAAAAGUAGUCAUGGAACAAUUUGUCAUUUUGUACCCAAUUCAGAAGCUUGCAAUAUUCUAUAAAAUGAAAACACAAUCAAAUGAGGUAGUGCUGCUGGCAGGGAUACUUUAUUUGAGCAGCACAUCUAUUCCAUUUAACCAUUGGUACAAGCAGACGGAACUCUCAUUCUUGAUAUAUGACAAUCCCAGGUGCAUUUUAGACUCUAGUCAUGAAAUUAUUGUAACAACCUAGAAAACCUUUCACAUUUUAAUAAUCCUACAAAACUACUUUCCACAUAAGGGAAUAUUUUGCAAUAAAAUACAAUUAGGUAGACACAGCAGUUUCUAAAAUCGUGAGAUUCUAGAGCACUGAUGAAAUUAGUUGAAAGCUGAAAAAAAAUGCUUUGAAUGGACAAGGAAGAGGGAAUCAAAGAUAAGAAAAU
This 1078-nucleotide long non-coding RNA is filed under the name Marmota monax (woodchuck). The record is from RNAcentral. Lineage: Eukaryota; Metazoa; Chordata; Mammalia; Rodentia; Sciuridae.